Molecule: long non-coding RNA, 1339 nt
Organism: Daphnia pulicaria
Lineage: Eukaryota; Metazoa; Arthropoda; Branchiopoda; Diplostraca; Daphniidae
Exons: 3
Source: RefSeq, a predicted model, not a curated record
GCUUGUUGGUUUUGGAAAUACGAUGCAUCUACUGCUGGUUUCUCCCGGUAUUGGCAGUGAAGAAAUGUCUGGGAAACCACUGAGGGCAAGAUCAACACCUUUGAAGGAAUGGAUUGGAUCAAGCUAGGCGUUGGCCCAUCAUCUAUGGUAUGUCAUUUCCCCGGUUGGGAGCAUCACUGACGCCUUGAUCGAGAACGAGGCCUCUUGCGGAAUAUCGUCAGAUCACAACGACGCUGAAAACCUGAAAUCUAUGCCAAUGAGCCAUCUCCUCCCUAUUUAUCAACAUGUACCUCGUUCAGAGACUUGUGUUUCCAACUGAUUUCACUCUACUGUCUCCGUACGAUUCCGCUGGCAAAGUUGGUCAAUCCUCUGAGCCACAGUACAUGGAACGUAUGCGAAAAUGUUCUGUCUUGUUUGCUGGGGCAGCAACGCCAAGCCUUGGGCUACUCACAUCUUUCGGAAAUUACUGCUGCCCGGUUGUCGAUUCGUUCGCUUCCCAGUUGAAAAUUGUAUCCUCUGACAUUGGGCCAUUUUUGUCGCGAUGCAUCUGAAAUCGUCACCAUCUUUUGCGUUUGUCGCGUAGCGUUUGUGAAAGACAUCCUCGGCCGUCACACCGGACAAGAAAAAGACGAGCAGUGCGAGCUUUUCCUCGUCGAAAAACUUUGCGUUCCAUCUCAGUGAAUUGAGGAAUGUCGGGCAGUUAAGGCGCUCUAUGCGUUUAUCCGAAAUUUCAUGCCACUUCCUGCUUGCCGCUGACCUUUACAGCCAAGCACACGACGUUAUCUGUGAUGAAACUGCUCCGGAAGCUAUCCUGUCUGAAACCUGUCUGGAGUUGGAGGAACUCUUGGCUCUCUUGGCUGACCCGGAACGAUUCAGUACAAUUGCCGAUUGGUACCUAAUAAGGGCGCCCUUUGCGUAAAGUUGAUUGGAAUUAUAUCACAGUCGUCAAAGCCGUAGAUCGAAUUUUAAAGCAGGAUAAUUCCAGUAAAAGAGUGCAACUAGAAUCUCUCCAAGUUGGUGUCCUCUCUACCCGUACCUUCUGCCAAGCACAGGCUUGUUCGCACGGAAAUAGCCCAGAAAGCGGCCUACAUCUUCCAAAAAAUUAUUGAACUCCAGUUAAAGUUGCUAAUUGCAGUAAAAAAAAAUUCAUGGUCAUUUUAGCUCAAAUUUGAACUCUCAUUAGUCGGUCAACGCAUCCGAGGAAUUUGUGGUUCCCUCUCGUUUUUUCCUGCCGCAAUAACUCCGUCAGCUUCCUGUGACGCAGGAUUACUCGCUCUCAGAGCUUAACAACGUUGUCCGUAUGUACUUUCUCGAACUGAAUGUUCAAAAGGUGCCAAGU